AAGUAACCGACAUUUAGACAAAAACCAUAUCAGCUAAAAGAUAGCUAAUGUAACAGAAUAGACUAACUGAAAUAACGGUAAAAACUAUAACUAACAAACUGUCAGUAACAAACUAUCAGUAGAAGAUGGCAUUAGACUAAUUCUGUUAUAAUUCUAAUAUUCCCCCCUUAAGAUGGACUGGAUAUGUCAUAUACAGACAUCUUAUGGAUAUGAGAAGCAAGAAUUGUGGAUGGAAGAGGUUUAGUGAAAGCAUCUGGAAGUUGGAGAGUAGUAUUGACAGGAAUGAGUUGAAUUGCAGAGGCCUUUAUCUUUUCGCGUAUGAAAUGGCAGUCUAAUUCGAUGUGUUUGGUGCAUUCGUGAAAAGUGGGGUUGUUGGCGAUGUGAAUGGCGGACUGAUUAUCACAAUAGAUGAAUGCAAGAGCCUUUUGAGGAAUUUGUAAGUCGUUAAGCAAGUAUUGGACCCAUGUAACUUCACUGCUAGCAGCAGCGAGUGCUCUGUACUCUGUUUCAGCAGAACUGCGAGAAAUUGUUGUUUGUUUCUUGGUUUUCCAGGAUAUCAAACAGUCUCCUAUGAAGAGGCAAAAACCUGAUGUUGAUCGACAUGUUGUAGGUCAGGAAGCCCAGUCCGAGUCUGAGAACACUACAAGAAGCUUAAGUAUUAGCAGCGACUAUAUUAGGGGCGACAAAAAGUCGCCUCUAAUAAUAUGGGUAUUAGGGGCGACAAAAGGCUGUCGCCCCUAAAGAAAAUAUUUUUUUUAUUUUUUUGACUUUGUAUAUAAUUAGGGGCGACAAAAGUCGCCCCUAAUAAUUUUAGAGACGAUUUUUAAUUAUUAAGGGCGACAAUAGUCGCCCCUAAAAAUUUUAAAAUGUGUUUGGUGGAUUUGGGCGGGAUUUUUCCCGCUUAUAGUAUUAGGGGCGACAAAAAUCGCCCCUAAAAAUUUGACUUCUGACACUCUACUUAUUAAGGGUGACUUUUAGAGGCGACAAUUGUCGCCCCAAAAAGUUGUUUCAUUAAAAAUCAUUUCGUCUUCCCCGAGCCCCAUUCUUUGUUACCCUAAAAAAAUCUAAAAAUCUCUCUCUCUCUCAAAUUUCUUUAUUACCACCAAUGGUGGUCUCUUACCACCGGUCGUCGUCCCCUCCCAAGGCCUGAACGAAGUCCUCCACCAAAUCUAAAACCCCUCGAAACGCCGCCCAAACUUCAAGUCUUCCCUCCCUUACUUCGUUCUCUCUCGUUUCCUUUUGCUCUGCCGCCCAAACAAGCCCACAACGGAGUACGAUGAUGGACGAACAUCGAGCUGGGGAUCACGAAUGUCAGGGCUUCGAUGGAUCAGGAAGGAAUGCACCCAUUGCAGCCAAGUCUCCGUCUCAGGCGGCGUCCUAAAGCUGGUGCAACCAAGUGUGAACUCCAAGUUCAGAAUUGUCUAUGAAAGCUCAAUCACCGAACGUCAGAUCCAAAGAUUUAUAUCUAUGUUACAACAACAUUAUCAACAACUACUUUAUUAAUGUUUUUUUUCUUUUGUAUUUAAACUAUUUUAGUAAUGUUGUUUGUAUUUUUGUACUAGUUAAUGCCUUUUUAUUUUAGUAUUUA
Cannabis sativa is the source of this 1588-nucleotide long non-coding RNA. RefSeq lists it as uncharacterized. NCBI's taxonomy places the organism in Eukaryota, Viridiplantae, Streptophyta, Magnoliopsida, Rosales, Cannabaceae. The transcript has 3 exons. The record is from RefSeq and is a predicted model, not a curated record.